Molecule: long non-coding RNA, 293 nt
Filed under: Mytilus galloprovincialis (Mediterranean mussel)
Lineage: Eukaryota; Metazoa; Mollusca; Bivalvia; Mytilida; Mytilidae
Source: RNAcentral
GGCGUAUAAAAUUAUAAUCCUGGUACUUUUGAUAACUAUUUACACCACUGGGUCGAUGCCACUGCUGGUGGACGUUUCGUCCCCGAGGGUAUUACCAGCCCAGUAGUCAGCACUUCGGUGUUGACAUGAAUAUCAAUUAUAUUGUCAUUUUUAUAAAUUUUCUGUUUACAAAACUUUGAAUUUUUCGAAAAACUAAGGAUUUUCUUACCCCAGGAGUAGAUUACCUUAGCCAUAUUUGGCACAACUUUUAGGAAUUAUUGAUCCUCAAUGCUCUUCAACUUUAAAUUUAUUUG